Cygnus olor (mute swan) is the source of this 796-nucleotide long non-coding RNA. RefSeq lists it as uncharacterized. Lineage: Eukaryota; Metazoa; Chordata; Aves; Anseriformes; Anatidae. The transcript has 4 exons. The record is from RefSeq and is a predicted model, not a curated record.
CCGGGGGGCGGCAGACCCCUCAUCUCUCCCCCUGCCUGUCGGCGGACGUUUCCUCAGGGAGCCCGGCCUAGGAGGUUUCCUCAGGGAGCGGCGGGUUGCGAAGGGCGAGCUCCCCCCCGGCUGGCUGAUUGAGGUGGUGGCGGGCGGCUGCUCCCCAGUUAACCCUGCCCGGGGGCAGCUGGCGCCGCUUCGAUUAGCUGCAGACCUCGAAGGUGGGUGCGAGGGGGGUACCCGCUGUCCCCCAGCCCUGUCCCGGGGCCGUCGAGGAACCGAGAAGCUGGGAGGCUAUAGUUAAUAUCAGAACGGCAACCUGGAGCCAGUCCCUCUGCCACUACUGGCAAUGGCCUAGCAGAUGCCUAUGAAAUGGCAUGUGCACAGUGAUUCUUCCUUGGGAAGAUCUCCUCGUUCUAGAGACACGAGAUACUGGGACUUCCUGAACCAUGUGCAGUGAUGGGAGUGCUUCACAAUGAUGAUGAUGCCUUUUUGACACUGCAGCUAACAGGCAUAAAUGAGAAAGCUAUUCCAACUGAAAUAUGAAAAUCCUACAAGGAUAUUCGACUGCAGAGAAGUAAAGACUGCAAGAUUGAACACUCACUUUAGAAGCACCCCAGAAGCAGACUCACUUCAUGAAGCCUUGAUCUGCACUACCAUGAAGAUCUGGAACUUUAAAUAGAUAAAAGGCAGAAGUCCAUACUAGGAGAUAAGCUCUGUUCUCUGCAGCAUGAUAACCCAUCAGGAAACAGAAAAGGUCCUGCCUGAUCUAAAGCUGUGGAAAUCCUUCAACUCAAAAGACAAG